UUGNNCAUGGGGGAACCCUGAUCCAGCCAUGCCGCGUGUGUGAAGAAGGCCUUUUGGUUGUAAAGCACUUUAAGCAGUGAAGAAGACUCCAUGGUUAAUACCCAUGGACGAUGACAUUAGCUGCAGAAUAAGCACCGGCUAACUCUGUGCCAGCAGCCGCGGUAAUACAGAGGGUGCAAGCGUUAAUCGGAAUUACUGGGCGUAAAGGGAGCGUAGGUGGCUCUAUAAGUCAGAUGUGAAAUCCCCGGGCUUAACCUGGGAACUGCAUCUGAAACUGUAGAGCUAGAGUAUGUGAGAGGAAGGUAGAAUUCCAGGUGUAGCGGUGAAAUGCGUAGAGAUCUGGAGGAAUACCGAUGGCGAAGGCAGCCUUCUGGCAUAAUACUGACACUGAGGCUCGAAAGCGUGGGUAGCAAACAGGAUUAGAUACCCUGGUAGUCCACGCCGUAAACGAUGUCUACUAGUCGUUGGGUCCCUUGAGGACUUAGUGACGCAGCUAACGCAAUAAGUAGACCGCCUGGGGAGUACGGCCGCAAGGUUAAAACUCAAAUGAAUUGACGGGGGCCCGCACAAGCGGUGGAGCAUGUGGUUUAAUUCGAUGCAACGCGAAGAACCUUACCUGGUCUUGACAUAUCUAGAAUCCUGCAGAGAUGCGGGAGUGCCUUCGGGAAUUAGAAUACAGGUGCUGCAUGGCUGUCGUCAGCUCGUGUCGUGAGAUGUUGGGUUAAGUCCCGCAACGAGCGG
This 741-nucleotide ribosomal RNA is filed under the name Psychrobacter sp. YAAJ11. RNAcentral's name for it is "bacterial SSU rRNA". It matches the Rfam family "Bacterial small subunit ribosomal RNA", at positions 364 to 1099 of the family's 1533-position model. The record is from RNAcentral. Lineage: Bacteria; Pseudomonadati; Pseudomonadota; Gammaproteobacteria; Moraxellales; Moraxellaceae.